Molecule: ribosomal RNA, 253 nt
Filed under: uncultured Thermogymnomonas sp.
Lineage: Archaea; Methanobacteriati; Thermoplasmatota; Thermoplasmata; Thermoplasmatales
Description: partial 16S ribosomal RNA
Rfam family: Archaeal small subunit ribosomal RNA
Source: RNAcentral
CACCCGCGGUUCGAGUGGUAGUCACUUUUAUUGAGCCUAAAGCGUUCGUAGCCGGAUUCGUAAAUCUCUAGGAAAAUCCUUCUGCCCAACAGAAGAAAUUCUGGAGAGACUGCGAAUCUAGGGACCGGGUGAGGUUGAAUGUACUUCUGGGGUAGGGGUAAAAUCCUGUAAUCCUGGAAGGACGACCGGUGGCGAAGGCGUUCAACUAGAACGGAUCCGACGGUGAGGAACGAAGGCUAGGGGAGCAAACCGG